RNAcentral lists this ribosomal RNA (496 nucleotides) under uncultured bacterium. Its description in RNAcentral is "bacterial SSU rRNA". It matches the Rfam family "Bacterial small subunit ribosomal RNA", at positions 28 to 504 of the family's 1533-position model. The record is from RNAcentral.
GACGAACGCUGGCGGCGUGCCUAAUACAUGCAAGUCGUGCGGACCUUUUAAAAGCUUGCUUUUAAAAGGUUAGCGGCGGACGGGUGAGUAACACGUGGGCAACCUGCCUGUAAGACUGGGAUAACGCCGGGAAACCGGGGCUAAUACCGGAUCGUUUUUUCCUCCGCAUGGAGGAAAAAGGAAAGGCGGCUUCGGCUGCCACUUACAGAUGGGCCCGCGGCGCAUUAGCUAGUUGGCGGGGUAACGGCCCACCAAGGCAACGAUGCGUAGCCGACCUGAGAGGGUGAUCGGCCACAUUGGGACUGAGACACGGCCCAAACUCCUACGGGAGGCAGCAGUAGGGAAUCUUCCGCAAUGGACGAAAGUCUGACGGAGCAACGCCGCGUGAGUGAAGAAGGCCUUCGGGUCGUAAAACUCUGUUGCCGGGGAAGAACAAGUGCCGUUCGAAUAGGGCGGCGCCUUGACGGUACCCGGCCAGAAAGCCACGGCUAACUAC